This 492-nucleotide ribosomal RNA is filed under the name uncultured bacterium. RNAcentral describes it as "partial 16S ribosomal RNA". It matches the Rfam family "Bacterial small subunit ribosomal RNA", at positions 29 to 507 of the family's 1533-position model. The record is from RNAcentral.
AGUGAACGCUGGCGGUAGGCCUAACACAUGCAAGUCGAACGGCAGCACAGUAAGAGCUUGCUCUUACGGGUGGCGAGUGGCGGACGGGUGAGGAAUACAUCGGCAUCUACUUUUUCGUGGGGGAUAACGUAGGGAAACUUACGCUAAUACCGCAUACGACCUACGGGUGAAAGCAGGGGAUCUUCGGACCUUGCGCGUUUGGAUGAGCCGAUGUCGGAUUAGCUAGUUGGCGGGGUAAAGGCCCACCAAGGCAACGAUCCGUAGCUGGUCUGAGAGGAUGAUCAGCCACACUGGAACUGAGACACGGUCCAGACUCCUACGGGAGGCAGCAGUGGGGAAUAUUGGACAAUGGGCGCAAGCCUGAUCCAGCCAUACCGCGUGGGUGAAGAAGGCCUUCGGGUUGUAAAGCCCUUUUGUUGGGAAAGAAAAGCAGCAGGUUAAUACCCCGCUGUUCUGACGGUACCCAAAGAAUAAGCACCGGCUAACUUCGUG